This 316-nucleotide ribosomal RNA is filed under the name Simorcus cf. asiaticus MR381. Its description in RNAcentral is "partial 12S ribosomal RNA". Lineage: Eukaryota; Metazoa; Arthropoda; Arachnida; Araneae; Thomisidae. The record is from RNAcentral.
AGGUAGUAAAAUCUACUUAAAACCUAUUUAUACUAUCGGCGGCAUUUCAUCUAAUUAGAGGAAUCUGUUUUAUAAUAGAUAAUCCACACUAACUUUCACUUUAAAUAACAACUUAUAUACCGCCAUCAACGAAUUAAAUUAACUAAUUUAUUCUUAAUAAAAAUUAAAAAGUUAGGUCAAGGUGUAGUCAACAUUAAAGACAACAAUGGAUUACUUUAAAUACAUUUAUGGAAUAAUUAAAAUAAUUUAAUUAUAAAAUAGGAUUUAAAAGUAAUAAAAUAACAAUAUUAUAUUAUUAAUAAGACAACAAAUGUGC